CUUUGGCAUUAUCCAACGUGGUAAAAUACUUGCUGUUUCUAGCAGUCGUAUUUGUUAGUUUCUCGUUGGAUCGCACAACCUCGUAAGAGAUUUUGGGCUCUCUGUAACUAUUCUUUAGUAGCAAACUCUAAAUCCCAGGUUUAGCUACCAUAUGCCCUUGUUCCCAUUGUAAUUGUAAGUUAAUUAUAAAAAUUCUUAUUCUAAUAACUUCUAGCACUCUCGGUGGACAAAGUCCUAAACUUUACUUAAUCUUUAAUAUGUGUUCCAAACCGGAGUGUAUCCCUUUUCAAAUCUAUUCUUAGGGGCUUCGCGCACAUAUACGGUUCUCUAAUUCUCUAAUCAUUGUUUGAUUUACUCCUGCGCAUCUCAAAAAAGAUAGCUGACGCUCGACGUCAGUCACCUUUAAAUCACUGAGUUUUCUUUCAACCCUUCAGAGAAACUAGUUUACAGUUAAACGCCUCAUUAUCGAGACAUCAAUACCAUCAGCGUAACACUUACUCUCCCGACGGUGUCAUAACGCUAUCCUCUAAGCACACGAUAUGCUUUUUUAUCAGAAAGCAAAGCGAGCCCAAUUAUUUAACUUACCAGAAACGAAUUAACGAUUCGUGUACACUUAGAUGUUCAAAUAA
Molecule: long non-coding RNA, 629 nt
Organism: Zophobas morio
Lineage: Eukaryota; Metazoa; Arthropoda; Insecta; Coleoptera; Tenebrionidae
Exons: 3
Source: RefSeq, a predicted model, not a curated record